Molecule: ribosomal RNA, 503 nt
Filed under: uncultured bacterium
Lineage: Bacteria
Description: partial 16S ribosomal RNA
Rfam family: Bacterial small subunit ribosomal RNA
Source: RNAcentral
GAUGAACGCUGGCGGCGUGCCUAAUACAUGCAAGUCGAACGAAGAUCUAGCUUGCUAGAUCUUAGUGGCGAACGGGUGAGUAACACAUAAAUAAUCUGCCCAUAUGACUGGGAUAACUAUUGGAAACGAUAGCUAAUACCGGAUAGGUUGAUCGGAGGCAUCUCUGCUGAAUUAAAGUAGGAUUUCUACACAAAUGGAUGAGUUUAUGGCGCAUUAGUUAGUUGGUGGGGUAACGGCCUACCAAGACGAUGAUGCGUAGCCGAGCUGAGAGGGUGACCGGCCACACUGGGACUGAGACACGGCCCAGACUCCUACGGGAGGCAGCAGUAGGGAAUUUUCGGCAAUGGGCGCAAGCCUGACCGAGCAACGCCGCGUGAGUGAUUAAGGCCUUCGGGUUGUAAAGCUCUGUUGUAAGGGAAGAACAUUCAGGAUAGGAAAUGAUCUUGAACUGACGGUACCUUACCAGAAAGCCACGGCUAACUACGUGCCAGCCGCCGCGGUAA